Molecule: ribosomal RNA, 406 nt
Filed under: uncultured bacterium
Lineage: Bacteria
Description: partial 16S ribosomal RNA
Rfam family: Bacterial small subunit ribosomal RNA
Source: RNAcentral
AUUGAACGCUGGCGGCAGGCCUAACACAUGCAAGUCGAACGAGUGGCGGACGGGUGAGUAAUGUCUGGGAAACUGCCCGAUGGAGGGGGAUAACUACUGGAAACGGUAGCUAAUACCGCAUACCAUCGGAUGUGCCCAGCUGGGAUUGGCUAGUCGGGGGGGUAACGGCUCACCUGGGCGACGCUCCCUAGCUGGUCUGAGAGGAUGACCAGCCACACGGUAACUGAGACACGGUCCAGACGCCUACGGGAGGCAGCAGUGGGGAAUAUUGCACAAUGGGCGCAAGCCUGAUGCAGCGAUGCCGCGUGGAUGAAGGAGGCCUUCGGGUUGUAAAGUACUUUAAGCGAGGAGGCGUUACUCGCAGAAGAAGCACCGGCUAACUCCGUGCCAGCAGCCGCGGUAAUUC